This 306-nucleotide unclassified non-coding RNA is filed under the name Hevea brasiliensis (rubber tree). The record is from RNAcentral. Lineage: Eukaryota; Viridiplantae; Streptophyta; Magnoliopsida; Malpighiales; Euphorbiaceae.
GGAUCGGUUCACGUCGAUCUGAAAUACUUCCUUGAGCACAUAAUCUCCGGUAAUCUUUGGGAGGAAUGGCGUCUGGCCAUCGAACACGAGACCUUGUAGAUCAUUUUGGUAUUGACCCUGUAGAGCCCAGAAAUGAAAGCUGAUGUAUGACAUAGGGUAGCGCCAGAAGAUCUUCGGAAUGUCGUUGGGAAGCCUAAAAAAGCCGGAUACCAGCAUAAAAAUUCCCUGAAUCCCAGCUCCUAUGACAAUUCCCAUGAGGAAAUUAGGCACCACACUGGCUAUGGCCAUCAUCAAGCUCUCGACCAC